RNAcentral lists this ribosomal RNA (241 nucleotides) under uncultured bacterium. RNAcentral describes it as "partial 16S ribosomal RNA". It matches the Rfam family "Bacterial small subunit ribosomal RNA", at positions 94 to 334 of the family's 1533-position model. The record is from RNAcentral.
AGCGGCGGACGGGUGAGUAACGCGUGGGUAACCGUGCCUCAUACAGGGGAGUAACAGUUGGAAACGGCUGCUAAUACCGCAUAAGCGCACAGUACCGCAUGGUACCGUGUGAAAAACUCCGGUGGUAUGAGAUGGACCCGCGUCUGAUUAGCUAGUUGGUGGGGUAACGGCCUACCAAGGCGACGAUCAGUAGCCGACCUGAGAGGGUGACCGGCCACAUUGGGACUGAGACACGGCCCAA